This 74-nucleotide transfer RNA is filed under the name Salmo salar (Atlantic salmon). It matches the Rfam family "tRNA". Rfam says of the family: Transfer RNA (tRNA) molecules are approximately 80 nucleotides in length. Their secondary structure includes four short double-helical elements and three loops (D, anti-codon, and T loops). The record is from Rfam by way of RNAcentral. Lineage: Eukaryota; Metazoa; Chordata; Actinopteri; Salmoniformes; Salmonidae.
GGCUGGUUAGCGCAGUUGGUUAGAGCGUGGUGCUUAUAACGCCAAGGUCGUGGGUUCGAUCCCCAUACUGGCUA